This 297-nucleotide ribosomal RNA is filed under the name Triticum aestivum (bread wheat). RNAcentral's name for it is "partial small subunit ribosomal RNA". The record is from RNAcentral. Lineage: Eukaryota; Viridiplantae; Streptophyta; Magnoliopsida; Poales; Poaceae.
AAAGAACUCGGGCGCAAUGAUCUUCCUCUGGUGGGCCCAAGCCUCGCCGUUGGACUUGAGGAUGCCUCUGCCGAACAGUGGCUCGUGCGUGGCCUUUAGGUAGGAGCUCUUGCCGAGGUCCAGCGAGACGCCGAGGUUGAUGUCCCGAACCACGUCUGCCCGGCUCACGUGAAGGAACACCACGUUCCCCAUGGAGUAAGUGAACACUGGACCUGCAUGCACUCAUACUACAUGUUAAUGAAUGAAUAUGAAAUGAACCCUGCCCGGUUCCCACACGUAAUAAUUACUGUACUGUAG